Molecule: ribosomal RNA, 531 nt
Filed under: uncultured bacterium
Lineage: Bacteria
Description: bacterial SSU rRNA
Rfam family: Bacterial small subunit ribosomal RNA
Source: RNAcentral
AAUAGAUACCCAGGUAGUCCACGCCGUAAACGAUGAGUGCUAAGUGUUAGAGGGGUUUCCGCCCUUUAGUGCUGCAGCUAACGCAUUAAGCACUCCGCCUGGGGAGUACGGUCGCAAGACUGAAACUCAAAGGAAUUGACGGGGGCCCGCACAAGCGGUGGAGCAUGUGGUUUAAUUCGAAGCAACGCGAAGAACCUUACCAGGUCUUGACAUCCCACUGACCGGUAUAGAGAUAUACCUUUCCCUUCGGGGACAGUGGUGACAGGUGGUGCAUGGUUGUCGUCAGCUCGUGUCGUGAGAUGUUGGGUUAAGUCCCGCAACGAGCGCAACCCUUGAUCUUAGUUGCCAGCAUUUAGUUGGGCACUCUAAGGUGACUGCCGGUGACAAACCGGAGGAAGGUGGGGAUGACGUCAAAUCAUCAUGCCCCUUAUGACCUGGGCUACACACGUGCUACAAUGGAUGGUACAAAGGGCUGCAAGACUGCGAAGUCAAGCCAAUCCCAUAAAACCCAUUCUCAGUUCGGAUUGCAGG